RNAcentral lists this ribosomal RNA (763 nucleotides) under uncultured Streptococcus sp. RNAcentral describes it as "bacterial SSU rRNA". It matches the Rfam family "Bacterial small subunit ribosomal RNA", at positions 28 to 776 of the family's 1533-position model. Lineage: Bacteria; Bacillati; Bacillota; Bacilli; Lactobacillales; Streptococcaceae. The record is from RNAcentral.
GACGAACGCUGGCGGCGUGCCUAAUACAUGCAAGUAGAACGCUGAAGGAGGAGCUUGCUUCUCUGGAUGAGUUGCGAACGGGUGAGUAACGCGUAGGUAACCUGCCUGGUAGCGGGGGAUAACUAUUGGAAACGAUAGCUAAUACCGCAUAACAGUAGAUGUUGCAUGACAUUUGCUUAAAAGGUGCAAUUGCACCACUACCAGAUGGACCUGCGUUGUAUUAGCUAGUUGGUGGGGUAACGGCUCACCAAGGCGACGAUACAUAGCCGACCUGAGAGGGUGAUCGGCCACACUGGGACUGAGACACGGCCCAGACUCCUACGGGAGGCAGCAGUAGGGAAUCUUCGGCAAUGGACGGAAGUCUGACCGAGCAACGCCGCGUGAGUGAAGAAGGUUUUCGGAUCGUAAAGCUCUGUUGUAAGAGAAGAACGAGUGUGAGAGUGGAAAGUUCACACUGUGACGGUAUCUUACCAGAAAGGGACGGCUAACUACGUGCCAGCAGCCGCGGUAAUACGUAGGUCCCGAGCGUUGUCCGGAUUUAUUGGGCGUAAAGCGAGCGCAGGCGGUUAGAUAAGUCUGAAGUUAAAGGCUGUGGCUUAACCAUAGUACGCUUUGGAAACUGUUUAACUUGAGUGCAAGAGGGGAGAGUGGAAUUCCAUGUGUAGCGGUGAAAUGCGUAGAUAUAUGGAGGAACACCGGUGGCGAAAGCGGCUCUCUGGCUUGUAACUGACGCUGAGGCUCGAAAGCGUGGGGAGCAAACAGG